This 402-nucleotide ribosomal RNA is filed under the name uncultured bacterium. RNAcentral describes it as "bacterial SSU rRNA". It matches the Rfam family "Bacterial small subunit ribosomal RNA", at positions 356 to 774 of the family's 1533-position model. The record is from RNAcentral.
AGGGAAUAUUGCAAAAUGGGCGAAAGCCUGAUGCAGCAACGCCGCGUGGGCGAUGAAGGCCUUCGGGUCGUAAAGCCCUUUUUGCGGGGAUGAGGAAGGACAGUACCCGCAGAAUAAGCCUCGGCUAACUACGUGCCAGCAGCCGCGGUAAAACGUAGGAGGCGAGCGUUAUCCGGAUUUACUGGGCGUAAAGCGCGUGCAGGCGGAUUGGAAAGUUGGAUGUGAAAGCUCCCGGCUUAACUGGGAGGGGUCGUUCAAAACUACCAGUCUUGAGGGCGAUAGAGGGAAGUGUAAUUCCGGGGGUAGUGGUGAAAUGCGUAGAUAUCCGGAGGAACACCAGUGGCGAAAGCGGCUUCCUGGAUCGUCUCUGACGCUCAGACGCGAAAGCUAGGGUAGCAAACG